GUGGGGAAUUUUGGACAAUGGGGGCAACCCUGAUCCAGCCAUGCCGCGUGCGGGAAGAAGGCCUUCGGGUUGUAAACCGCUUUUGUCAGGGAAGAAAUCCUUUGGGUCAAUACCUCGGAGGGAUGACGGUACCUGAAGAAUAAGCACCGGCUAACUACGUGCCAGCAGCCGCGGUAAUACGUAGGGUGCGAGCGUUAAUCGGAAUUACUGGGCGUAAAGCGUGCGCAGGCGGUUUUGUAAGAUCGAUGUGAAAUCCCCGGGCUCAACCUGGGAACUGCAUUGGUGACUGCAAGGCUGGAGUGCGGCAGAGGGGGAUGGAAUUCCGCGUGUAGCAGUGAAAUGCGUAGAUAUGCGGAGGAACACCGAUGGCGAAGGCAGUCCCCUGGGCCUGUACUGACGCUCAUGCACGAAAGCGUGGGGAGCAAACAGGAUUAGAUACCCUAGUAGUCC
Molecule: ribosomal RNA, 450 nt
Filed under: uncultured bacterium
Lineage: Bacteria
Description: partial 16S ribosomal RNA
Rfam family: Bacterial small subunit ribosomal RNA
Source: RNAcentral